This 197-nucleotide ribosomal RNA is filed under the name uncultured bacterium. RNAcentral describes it as "partial 16S ribosomal RNA". It matches the Rfam family "Bacterial small subunit ribosomal RNA", at positions 336 to 525 of the family's 1533-position model. The record is from RNAcentral.
CUCCUACGGGAGGCAGCAGUGGGGAAUUUUGGACAAUGGGGGCAACCCUGAUCCAGCAAUGCCGCGUGAGUGAAGAAGGCCUUCGGGUCGUAAAGCUCUUUUGUCAGGGAAGAAACGGUAAUCUCUAAUAUAGAUUGCUAAUGACGGUACCUGAAGAAUAAGCACCGGCUAACUACGUGCCAGCAGCCGCGGAAUUC